UACGGGGGGGGCAAGCGUUGUUCGGAAUUACUGGGCGUAAAGGGCUCGUAGGCGGCCAACUAAGUCAGACGUGAAAUCCCUCGGCUUAACCGGGGAACUGCGUCUGAUACUGGAUGGCUUGAGCCUCGGAGAGGUCGGUGGAAUUCCGGGUGGAGCGGUGAAAUGCGUAGAGAUCCGGAGGAACACCAGGGGCGAAGGCGGCCGACUGGCCGAGUGCUGACGCUGAGGCGCGACGGCGUGGGGAGCAAACCGG
This 253-nucleotide ribosomal RNA is filed under the name uncultured bacterium. RNAcentral's name for it is "partial 16S ribosomal RNA". It matches the Rfam family "Bacterial small subunit ribosomal RNA", at positions 524 to 776 of the family's 1533-position model. The record is from RNAcentral.